AUCACUAAGUUUCAAUAGAGGGAUAUUGAUUUUAGUGGGAGUAGAUUCUGUUAAAAUAGUUUAAUGUAAUUUGCUCUAUCUUGGAUACGUUUGUCUUAGUGUAUUUUGCAUUACUUUUGUUGUAGAUUAAAUGGCACCUAGCAACACCACCGCAUCGUUUGCUUUGCGUUCGGUCCUUGAGAAGGACAAGUUGAAUGGAACAAAUUAUUCGGAUUGGAUCCGCAACCUGAGAAUUGUUCUCAGGGCUGAGAAAAAGGAAGAUGUUCUAGACAACCCACUACCA
This 283-nucleotide long non-coding RNA is filed under the name Setaria viridis. RNAcentral's name for it is "long non-coding RNA (SVIR_LNC005507)". The record is from RNAcentral. Lineage: Eukaryota; Viridiplantae; Streptophyta; Magnoliopsida; Poales; Poaceae.